Molecule: ribosomal RNA, 1475 nt
Filed under: Candidatus Pelagibacter sp.
Lineage: Bacteria; Pseudomonadati; Pseudomonadota; Alphaproteobacteria; Candidatus Pelagibacterales; Candidatus Pelagibacteraceae
Description: bacterial SSU rRNA
Rfam family: Bacterial small subunit ribosomal RNA
Source: RNAcentral
AAACUUGAGAGUUUGAUCAUGGCUCAGAACGUACGCUGGCGGCACGCCUAACACAUGCAAGUCGAACGAAGUAGCAAUACUUAGUGGCAGACGGGUGAGUAACAUGUAGGUAUCUGCCCUUUGGCCUGGAAUAACACGAGGAAACUUGUGCUAAUACCGGAUAAGUCUUUACGGAGAAAGCUUUAUGCACCAUUGGAUGAGCCUGCACUUGAUUAGUUUGUUGGUGGGGUAAUGGCCUACCAAGACUGUGAUCAAUAGCUGAUUUGAGAGGAUGAUCAGCCACAUUGGGACUGAGACACGGCCCAAACUCCUACGGGAGGCAGCAGUGGGGAAUCUUGCACAAUGGAGGAAACUCUGAUGCAGCGAUGCCGCGUGAGUGAAGAAGGCCCUUGGGUUGUAAAGCUCUUUCGUCGGGGAAGAAAAUGACUGUACCCGAAUAAGAAGGUCCGGCUAACUUCGUGCCAGCAGCCGCGGUAAUACGAAGGGACCUAGCGUAGUUCGGAAUUACUGGGCUUAAAGAGUUCGUAGGUGGUUGAAAAAGUUAGUGGUGAAAUCCCAGAGCUUAACUCUGGAACUGCCAUUAAAACUUUUCAGCUAGAGUAUGAUAGAGGAAAGCAGAAUUUCUAGUGUAGAGGUGAAAUUCGUAGAUAUUAGAAAGAAUACCAAUUGCGAAGGCAGCUUUCUGGAUCAUUACUGACACUGAGGAACGAAAGCAUGGGUAGCGAAGAGGAUUAGAUACCCUCGUAGUCCAUGCCGUAAACGAUGUGUGUUAGACGUUGGAAAUUUAUUUUCAGUGUCGCAGCGAAAGCGAUAAACACACCGCCUGGGGAGUACGACCGCAAGGUUAAAACUCAAAUGAAUUGACGGGGACCCGCACAAGUAGUGGAGCAUGUGGUUUAAUUCGAAGAUACGCGCAGAACCUUACCAACACUUGACAUGUUCGUCGCGACUCUAAGAGAUUAGAGUUUUCGGUUCGGCCGGACGAAACACAGGUGCUGCAUGGCUGUCGUCAGCUCGUGUCGUGAGAUGUUGGGUUAAGUCCCGCAACGAGCGCAACCCUCACUUUUAGUUGCCAUCAUUAAGUUGGGCACUCUGAAAGAACUGCCAGUGAUAAGCUGGAGGAAGGUGGGGAUGACGUCAAGUCCUCAUGGCCCUUACGUGUUGGGCUACACACGUGCUACAAUGGUAUCUACAACAGGAAGCAAAACUGCGAAGUUAAGCAAAUCCCUAAAAGAUACCUCAGUUCGGAUUGCACUCUGCAACUCGAGUGCAUGAAGCUGGAAUUACUAGUAAUCGUGGAUCAGCGUGCCACGGUGAAUGCGUUCCCGGGUCUUGUACACACCGCCCGUCACACCAUGGGAGUUGGUUCUACCUUAAGGCAAGGUUUUAAACCCUUGACCACGGUAUAGUCAGCGACUGGGGUGAAGUCGUAACAAGGUAGCCGUAGGGGAACCUGCGGCUGGAUUACCUCCUUU